This 253-nucleotide ribosomal RNA is filed under the name uncultured bacterium. Its description in RNAcentral is "partial 16S ribosomal RNA". It matches the Rfam family "Bacterial small subunit ribosomal RNA", at positions 524 to 776 of the family's 1533-position model. The record is from RNAcentral.
UACGUAGGGUGCGAGCGUUAAUCGGAAUUACUGGGCGUAAAGCGUGCGCAGGCGGUUCGCCAAGUCAGGUGUGAAAUCCCCGGGCUUAACCUGGGAAUUGCGCUUGAAACUAGCGGGCUUGAGUGCGGCAGAGGGGGGUGGAAUUCCGCGUGUAGCAGUGAAAUGCGUAGAGAUGCGGAGGAACACCGAUGGCGAAGGCAGCCCCCUGGGUCGACACUGACGCUCAGGCACGAAAGCGUGGGGAGCAAACAGG